This 279-nucleotide unclassified non-coding RNA is filed under the name plant metagenome. RNAcentral describes it as "partial contains small subunit ribosomal RNA, internal transcribed spacer 1, and 5.8S ribosomal RNA". The record is from RNAcentral.
UUUCCGUAGGUGAACCAGCGGAAGGAUCAUUAGUGAACGCCAACGCGGGCCUACAAUUGUUCCAAUACUCUGUGAAUCGCGCCGUCCGGGGCUAUCUCACAAACACGGUGUAUGGAACGCCACAUAACACAACAAAACAAACCUUACACCAACGGAUCUCUUGGCUCUCGCAUUGAUGGAGAAUGCAGAAGAUAGGAAGUGCACAAGGCUGAACUCCAGUCACUUCGGACGAUUUUGCACGUCGGCUUCUGCGAGAAAAAAUCUAAAUUCCUACUACGU